This 253-nucleotide ribosomal RNA is filed under the name uncultured bacterium. RNAcentral describes it as "partial 16S ribosomal RNA". It matches the Rfam family "Bacterial small subunit ribosomal RNA", at positions 524 to 776 of the family's 1533-position model. The record is from RNAcentral.
GACGUAGGGCGCGAGCGUUGUCCGGAUUUAUUGGGCGUAAAGAGCUCGUAGGCGGCUUGUCGCGUCGUCCGUGAAAACUUGGGGCUCAACCCCAAGCUUGCGGUCGAUACGGGCAGGCUAGGGUUCGGUAGGGGAGACUGGAAUUCCUGGUGUAGCGGUGAAAUGCGCAGAUAUCAGGAGGAACACCGGUGGCGAAGGCGGGUCUCUGGGCCGAUACUGACGCUGAGGAGCGAAAGCGUGGGGAGCGAACAGG